Molecule: long non-coding RNA, 431 nt
Filed under: Mus pahari (shrew mouse)
Lineage: Eukaryota; Metazoa; Chordata; Mammalia; Rodentia; Muridae
Description: CHD2 adjacent suppressive regulatory RNA (MGP_PahariEiJ_G0011979.1)
Source: RNAcentral
GUAACUUACAAGAUGAUAAUUCAUGUGGUUGCCGAUGAUUCUGAGUAUACACAGCUUUUAUCCCAGGUGUGCCAUUUUGAAGACUGAGACUAUAGAGUUUUAAGAAUAAAGGAGAGAGCCCUUGGGAAAUUCUGUAUUGUAUAUAGCAACUUUAAAGGAUUAACAUAACAAAAUGUUGCAGCUAGUCACGAGUGUUUUUGGAUCAUAACUUGACAUAGUUUUUAGCAUAUAAAAUAGGAAUGUGAAUCCUUAAAUGGAAUGAAAAGCCUAUACCAUAGACAUCGAAGCCUUUACACCCCGCUUGAAGAGUUUGAAAUGGACUUUACCACAGAAAUCAAGAUGGCAGCCCAUUAUGGGGAAUUGAGGAAAAUGGAUUAAUGCAAGAAUGCUGUAAUAUUACACAACCAACACAGGAUUCUUUUAAUGUGGAU